CCGCGAACACCGCUGAGCUCUACCUUCUCCCAUACUGAUUUUACAGCCGCAGAGACUAAGUCCCAUUCGGCGAUGGGACUUAGUCGUUUUUUCAGCCUGAAAUAGACCGGCCGCACAGCCCAAAUCUAUGGAACUGUUUUGGGCAGGAAAAUGUGCUUGCGGUCGGUCAUAAAGGGACCUCCAGCUAACUUUUUAACCCCUGGAUGGAUUUGGCUGAU
This 218-nucleotide long non-coding RNA is filed under the name Pelobates cultripes (western spadefoot toad). The record is from RNAcentral. Lineage: Eukaryota; Metazoa; Chordata; Amphibia; Anura; Pelobatidae.